This 253-nucleotide ribosomal RNA is filed under the name uncultured bacterium. RNAcentral's name for it is "partial 16S ribosomal RNA". It matches the Rfam family "Bacterial small subunit ribosomal RNA", at positions 524 to 776 of the family's 1533-position model. The record is from RNAcentral.
UACGUAGGGACCAAGCGUUGUUCGGAUUUACUGGGCGUAAAGGGCGCGUAGGCGGCUUAACAAGUCACUUGUGAAAUCUCCGGGCUUAACUCGGAACGGCCAAGUGAAACUGUCAAGCUAGAGUGCAGAAGGGGCAAUCGGAAUUCUUGGUGUAGCGGUGAAAUGCGUAGAUAUCGGGAGGAACACCUGAGGCGAAGGCGGGCUACUGGGCCGAUACUGACGCUGAUGCGCGAAAGCCAGGGGAGCGAACGGG